Molecule: long non-coding RNA, 18887 nt
Organism: Gorilla gorilla gorilla (western lowland gorilla)
Lineage: Eukaryota; Metazoa; Chordata; Mammalia; Primates; Hominidae
Exons: 3
Source: RefSeq, a predicted model, not a curated record
AAUAAGGAUAUAAAGAAAGUAUUUUUGUAUAGCUAUACAAUGUUUGUUUAAAGCUAAGUGUUAUGACAAAAGAGUCAAAAAGUUUUUAAAAAAAUAAAUAGUUUAUAAAGUAUGGUAUGGUAAGCUAAGAUUAAUUUAUUAUUGCAGAAAGAAAAAACUGUAAACACAUUUAAUGUAGCCUACGUGUACAGUGUUUUAUAAGUCUACAGUAGCAUACAGUAAUGUCCUAGGCCUUCACAUUCACUCACCACUCACUCACUGACUCAUCCAGAGUAACUUCCAGUCCUGUAAGUUCCAUUCGUGGUAAAUGCCCUAUACAGCUGUAUCAUUUUCAAAUCUUUUAUAUGGUACUUUUAAUAUACCUUUUUAUGUUUAGAUAUAUUUAGAUACACAAAUGCUAUUGUGUUACAGUUGUCUACAGUAUUUACUAUAGUAACAUGCUGUACAGGUUUGUAACCUAGGAGUUAUAAGUUGUACCAUAUAGCCUAGGUGUGUAGAAGGCUGUACUAUCAGGGGUUGUGUAAGUACACUCUAGUAUGUUCAUACAAUGAUGAAAUUACCUAACAAUACAUUUCUUAGAACAUAUCCCUGUCAUUAAGCAAUGCAUGACUAUAUUAAGAAACAUGUACUUACAGAAGUGAUACGUCUUAAGAAAAGACAACAAAAAUCCAUUUUAACUAACUUUUUGGUCAUUUAUUGUGUUAGGCAUUAUGUUGUAUGCUUUAAUAAUAUUAUGUUUAUAAUUACAAAUUUGUGCUUCAUUGAUAGGUAGGUAGAUAUUAUCCUCUUGGACCACCUAACCUAAAUUUUUAAGCUCUCUUUGAAACCUUGCUGAUUUUGGAAUAUGAUAUGGUGUUGCACAAUCGAUAACUAGAACAGUGGCCUUAUAGGGGCUGAUCUAGUAUUUGGAAAACAAAUGUAUCCUUCUGGUUUCCUUACUUAUAAUGGAAUUAUCAAAAAUGAUAGUGGUGUUUUGAGUAAUGCCCACUUGCCUAUAUCUCACAGUGUCACUUGGAGGAAGUUGAUGCAGUUUGAGAUUACAACUUUUAUUUCAGUGGUGCAGAUGCUCACAUCUGGAAAGGCACCUCUUUGUUUAUCAGAGACAUAUUCUUUUCAUGCAACAGCUUAUAUGAAGCCUUUCUUAAUGAUUCUAGUCUAUACUGAGCUUUUCCUUUUUCUAAUUUCCUGUAGCUCCUAAUGUAUAUUUUAAGCCUGUGAGUGCUCAGGUCUCACUUGCCUUCGUGUUGUCUUACAUUCUGAACUAGAAUGAACUCCUGAGAUAUACUUGUUUUAUAUUCCUCGCAGCAUGUGUAUUUGUAUUCCUUUCCUAUAACCCUUUAAGAAAUACUUUAUUGACUGCUUAAGGCAUGAGGCCAGUCUUGAUGCAAUAUCUGUCAUCUCAUUGCCAGGAAUACCUUGAUUGUAGAGCUCCUUGCCCCAUUAUGCUGCAUGUGUUUCUGUUCUCAAGCUGCCUACUAGGUCAAAGAGGAUGGCCCUCACAGGUAGAGAAUAAUUCUUCAUGUCAACAUGUGAAUGUUAGUAUACCUGUGUUCUUUAAAAACACUUGUCACAGUGCCUUCUUGAUUCCUGGCGAUUGUGGUGGACUAAGAGUCAAGAGACUAGGUUCUAGUUUCAGCACUGCCAUUAAGCAGAAUUGCAAAUUACUUAACCUGUAUAGGUUUUGGCUUUCUAGUGUAUAAAAUAUGAGAUUUCAACUAAGUGAUCUCAAAGGUUCCUUCUAGCUCUAAAAUUCUAUGAUUUUAUGAAAAUGUGUUCUCCAAAUACUUAAAGCUCAUUGCAGAAGGUAAUGUUUCUUAUAGUGUUUCCAAAGUGUCUUGCCUAUUGUUGUACAGUUAAGGAGGUUGAAAAGUAGAAAAAAAUUUAGUGAUCUGGAAGAAGGAGUUGUAAUACCUGACCUGUAUCUGGUGGCAAAAUACUUACUUUCACAGUUCCUAGGAUAUUCAUAGGGCAGGGUCAUAAGCCUCAUUAAAUCCGCUUGUUUACUGUUUGCUGAAGGGAAUUCUAACACAAUCCAUUUAUCAAUCCAGGUUGCUUGUAAAAUGGAGUGUGAAUGUGUUUGUAAGAAUUUUGCAUGGAAUGUGCACAUAAUAUGGUCACUAUUUAGAAGUAGUGUUUCUUGUGUUCAACAUCUAUAAAAUUUAGUUUUAAUCACUUCUAUAUAUAAACAAUAUAAAAUUUACUUACUGUAAUAUCUAUAUUUUAUUAUCUCCAGAAUAGUGUUAUAUAUUUUAGCUUAAUGAUACUAUAAUAUUACUAGGUGGUAUAGCUGGUGAGACUCCUUUAAAGUGGAUAGGGUUUAUGUGGAUAGCGUUAUAGUAUAGAUUAACAUGCAUGUUAUUCUUUCCUUCCUUGUGAGGUUCUGCUGUAUAUUUUCAGAUAAGCAAAGAGACUUUGGAAAUAGUUCCUGUGAUUUUAAUUAUUUGGACUUUUAAAAUUAAUAUUUUAUGAGUUUUACAUUAAUAGGAUUAUUUUAAAAUUAUAUACUUUCACUUAAUUUUUCUGUCUCAGUAUAACUGUCAUAUGAAUACAUUGUUUUUGAACUUUGAUAAUUUGCUAUGUAUCUAGAUUUCGUGAAUCAGUUCUAUAAACUGUUUUAAGUUUCUCUCAGUAUUAUUUUUGAAAGAAAAAUAAACUAUAUGCUAAAUUUUAUUUCCAUCUAACUUUGUGUAAUGUGUUAAUACUGCUAUUUUACUAAACAUCAAUUUGUUUAUUAAAGUAUUUUAAAAUUGUUUAAUCAAAUGCAUUUUUUAGGUUAAUAGUGUUCCUAUUGUCCAAAUAUAUUCUUAACAUGGGCCAAACCAGAUUAGAGCCAUAUUAAAAAAUUCUUGUUUUGAAAUCCUAUGUAAAUGAUAGCUAUCUGAAUAUGGGCUACUAGAGUCUUAUUAUUAUUGGAGGGUAGUGAUGGAUGGAAAAUAUUGAAGAAAACAGCAUAAUAAUUAUGAUUUAGAAUCCAUGGUUUCGAUAUUUAAAAUAUUUUGUGAGGCUUCUUUUCCAGUGCUCGUAAGAUUCCGAGGCAAGUAAGAAGCUGUUAGAUAUAUAAUUUUCCCUGCAGAACAAUGUGAUUUUUUCAGUUUUUUAUUUUGAAAAUUUUUAAACAUACUGAAAAAUAGAGAACUCCAUAUGACUAUCACUUUUAAAUUUUUAAUCUAUUUUUGAUGGAAAUAUUUUAAAGUAAAUUAUAGAUAUCAUUACAUUUUACUUAAAUACUUUAGUAUGUAUGCAUCUCCAAAAACUGAAGGACAAUUCACUAUAUUAUCAGAAUGUGAUUACUACUCUUAACAAACUUCACAGUCAUUCCUUAAUGUCAGGUACAGUUUUAUCUUCCAUUUUCUUCUUUAUCCUAAAAUAUGAGAAUAUAGAAAUAGAGAUUAAUUAUUCUAAUUGUACUUAAGCUCUCUUUUUCUUUUUUUUGUGACUUUUUUUAGUGGACUUCUCUGUGCCACACUUUCUCUUUCUGUAAAUCCAGCAGCCUAGAUCAUGUGAUUUCUUUGGUCCCUUUUAUCAUAGCCUCUGUCUGACUCACUGGGUAGAACUGGUUGUUGUUAGCUAAAAUCUGAUUUAGGAAACUGCUGGUAUCGAACCAGGUGAAUGUGAUCUCUUUGAUAUAUAUGUACAUCAGGAGAGCAUGUUUCUUAUCUUAUAAAUAGGAAAACAGGGAUUGUGUUUAUUUCAACUUAUAUUUCCAGAAGCUGGUAUAGAGCAUGAAACAUAAUAAGCAUUCAAUAAGUGAUGAGGGCACAAUGAGAAAUUAAAUAGAUUAAUGCAUAAAUGAAUUUGUUAAUCAAUGUUCAGGAGUAACAGGUCAAGCCAACCAAGUAGAGCUGGAUAUACUGUAUAUAGCCAGGUAUAGUAACUAAGUCAUUUGUAGAUUUCUUAAAUUCCCGUUGGGAAAGAUUUACCCAAUGUGUCAAAAGAUCUUUACUAUUUAAUAUAGCCAUUAUGACUAUUUCCUUGCAGAAAACUCUGUUAUCACAUUCACAUAGAGAAACUGACAAUGGGAACUGCUGUGGGUUGAAUUGUACCUUCUCAAAAGCUGUUAAAACAUCAUGAGGAAAAAGCCCUCACAUAUUAAUAUUAACCUUGAAUAUAAAUGGAUUAAAUACUCCAAUUAAAAUACACAGAAUGCCAGAAUGGAUUUUUUUUAAAAAAUGAACCAACUAUAUACUAGUUACAAGAAACUUACCUUGCUGGUAAAGACACUUAUAGAUUGAAGGCCAAGGGAUUGAAAAAGAUAUUCCACGCAAGCGGAAACCAAAAGCAAGCAGGAGUAGCCAUGCUUUUAUCAGAUAAAACAGGCUUUAAAUCAAAAACAGUUAAAAAAAAAAAAAAAAGACAAAGGAGGUUAUUAUAUAAUGAUAAAACAAUUCAACAAGAAGCUAUACCAGUCGUAAAUAUACAUGCCCUGAACUCAGGAGCAGCCAGAUUCAUUAAACAAUAUUACGAGACCUAAAUAAAGAGAUAGCAAUACAAUAAUAAUGGGAGACUUCAACACCCCAUUCACAGCACCAGACAGAUCAUUGAGACAGAAAAUCAGCAAGGAAACUAGACUUAAUUGAACAUUAGAUCAAAAGGAUGAAACAGAUAUUCCAAGAGCUGCAGAAUAUACAUUUUACUCAUCAUCACAGGGAACAUUCUCCAAGAUAGACUGUAUGUUAGGCCACAAAACUAGCCUCAAUACAUUUUAAAAAAUCAAAAUCAUAUCAAGAGUCAUGUCAGACCACAGUGGAAUAAAACUAGAAAUUAAUACCAUGAGUAAUUAUUGAAACUAUACAAAUACAUGGAAAUUAAACAACACAUUCCUCACUGAUCUUUGGAUCAAUGAUGAAAUUCAGAUAAAAAUUUUAAAAUUUUUGAAAUGAAUGAAAAUGGAGACACAACAUACCAAAGCCUUUGGGAUACAGAAAAAAGCACUGCUAACAGGGAAGUUUAUAUCUUUAAGUGUGUACUUCAAAAAAAGAAAUCACAAAUUAACCAAACAUCACAUCUCAAAAAAUUAGAAAAACAAGAACAAACCAUACCCAUAGCUAGCAGAAGAAAAUAAAUAGCAAAGAUCAGAGCAGGACUAAGUGAAAUUGAGACCAAUAAAUAAAUAAAUAUUAAAAUAAAAAAAAUCAACAAAAUGAAAAGUUUGUUCUUUAAAAAGAAAAACUAAAUUGAUAAACUACUGGCUACACUAACCAAGAAUAGAGAAGAUCCAAAUACACAUAAUCAGAAAUUAAAAAGGAGACAUUACAACUACUACCACAGAAAUGCAAGAGAUCAUCAGAGACUUCUGUGAACAACUAUAUGCUUAUAAACUAGAAAACCUAGAGGAAAUGGAUACAUUCCUAGAAACAUACAACCUCCCAAGAUUGAACCAGGAAGAAAUAGAAAUCCUGAAGAGAUCAAUAACAAAGUAGUGAGAUAGAAUCGGUAAUAGAAAAAUCUUAACAAACAAAAAAAGCCAGUAACCAGAUGGAUUCAUUGCCAAAUUCUACCAAAAGUACAAAGAAGAACUGGUACCAAUCCUACUGAAACUGUUCCAAAAAAUCAAGGAAGAGGAAAUUCUCCCUAGUUCAUUCUACAAAGCCAGUGUGACCCUUAUACCAAAGCUAAACAAGGACAAAACAAAAAAGAAAACGUUGGAUCAAUAUCCCUGAUGACCAUAGAUGCAAAAUCCUCAACAAAAACUAGCAAACCAAAUCCCACAGUGCAUUAAAAAGAUAAUACACCAUGAUCAAAUAGGUUUCAUUCCAGGGAUGCAAGUAUUCUUGUGAUGUGAUUCAUCACAUAAGCAGAAUUAAAAACAAAAACCAUAUGAUUAUACAUGCAGAAAAGAAGCAUGUGAUAAAAUUCAGCAUCUCUUCGUGAUAGAAACCCUCAACAAACUAGACGUAGAAGGAACAUACCUCAAAAUAACAAAGGCCAUACAUGCCAACAUCAUACUAAAUGGGGGAAAGUUGAAAGCAGUCUCCCUACAAACUGGAAUAAGACAAGAAUGCCCACUUUUACCACUCCUAUUUAUCAUAGUAGUGGAUAGCCUAGCUAGAGCAUUCAGGCAAGAGAAAGAAAUGAAAUACAUCCAGAUUGCAAAAGAAGAAAUCGAAUUAUCUCUAUUUGCCAACAAUAUGAGCUUAUAUUUAGAAAACCCUAAAAACUCCUGCAAAAAACUCUUAAUUUUGAUAAAUGAAUUUAGCAAAGUUUGAGGGUAUAAAAUCAAUGUAUAAAAAUCAGUAGUAUUUCUAUACACCAAUAACAGUGAAGCUAAGAACCAAAUCGAAAAGGCAAUUUUAUUUACAGUAACUAAAAAAAUGAAAUAAAAAUCUAAGAAUAUAUUUAACCAAGAAAGUGAAAGAUCUCUACAAGGAAAACUACAAAACAGUGGUGAAAGAAAUUGUAGAUGACACAAACAAAUGCAAAAACAUUCCAUGCUUAUAGAUCAGAAGAAUUGUUAAAAUGAGCACAGUGCCCAAAACAAUCUGCAGAUUCAAUGCAAUCUCUAUCCAAAUACAAGCAUCAUUUUUCACAGAAUUAGACAAAACCAUCCUGAAAUUCACAUAGAACUAAAAAGGUGACCUGAAUAGCCAAAGCAACCCUAAGCCCAAAGAACAAAGCUGGAGGCAUCACAUUACCUGACCACAAAUUAUAGUGCAAGGCUAUAGUAACCAAAACAGCAUGGUUCUGGUAUCAAAAUAGACACAUAGAUCAAUGGAACAGAAUAGAGAACCGAUAAAUAAAGCUACAUAUCUACACCCAAGUGAUUGUUGAUAGAGUCAACAAAAAUGCACACUGGGGAAAGGACACCCUGUUCAAUAAAUUGUGCUGGGAAAAUUGGAUUGCCAUAUACAGAAUAAUGAAAAUGGACCCCUAUCUCUCACCAUAUACAAAAAUCAACUCAAGAUGGAUUAAAGACCUAAAUUUAAGGGCUGAAACUAUAAAAAAUACUAGAAGUAAAACAAGGGAAAGCUCUUGUGGACAUUGGUCUAGGUAAAUAAUUAUAGACUAAGACCUGAAAAGCUUAAGCAACAAAAAUAGACAAGUGGGAUUUAAUUAAACUGAAAAACCUCUGCACAGCAAGAGAAACAAUCAACCAAGUGAACAGACAACCUGCAGAGUGGAAGAAAAUAUUUGCAAACAAUGCAUAUGACAAAGGGCUAAUAUCCAGAAUCUAUAAGGAACUUGACAAGAAAAAAAAAAACCCUAUUGAAAGAUGGGCAAAAGACAUGAACAGAUACCGUUUAAAAUAAGACAUAAAAAUAGCCAAUAAAUAUAUGGAAAAAAUGCUCAACAUCACUAAUCAUCAGAGAAAUGCAAAUUAAAACCACACUGAGAUAUCAUCUUAUGCCAAUCAGAGUAGCUAUUAUGAGAAAGACAAAAAAUAACAUGUUUUCUAAAACCCAGAUGCAUACAUGACCAAAGAGCAAUUUAUGACCAAAAUAUUUGAGCAUCCUGCUUCACAAACUGUUACAUAUAGGCUUUUUUUUUCAGUUAGUGUGGGAAAAUGGCAUUUCUGAAUUUUGAAUUACUCCUUGAACUGUGUAAAUUAAAUGAAUUAAAAGGUGCCCUUUUUUACUGGCUCUUAAAAAUCAUGGAACUCCAAGGGGCUAUGCAGGUAGCACUAUUGCUAGUGACCUCAAAUACUAUCUUUGAAUUUAAUAGAAUAUGUAGUUAGUGUAAACCAAGUAGGCUACUUCCAAUGCUGGUUAGUUGUGUUUUAUGUAGACACAACCUAUGUAUGUUGAACCUUUUUAUAAUAUACCAAUGACAGUCAAAUUAUAUCAGCUAACAUUUUGUGAGUGUCUGCUGUUUACAGAUAUACCAAGCUCUGAUAAUGCUUACUGAUAUACUGAAAAGUCUUGAUUAGGUUCAGAUUUGAAUCAGACAAAGAGGAAGACCAUUAAGCCAAUGCAAUCCAGAUUCCCCUCUUCCAUUGCUUUUUUAAUUUUGUUAAUAUACACACACAGGUUGUGUGUCUUGAUUAGAUUGGAAAUUGAGAGUAUCAUAGGUUUUUUCUUAUAAUCCUUGAGAACUUGUGUCAAAAGGACAAGUUGGAAAUAGACUGUAAUUGGAAAGAUUUUCUAUAAUAGGUGAAGGUAUUUUUAGUAAAGAGGCAACUGCUAGCCUAUGAACUAUUGAGGGAAUUUUCCCCAGAAGUCUGGAAAGCCUAUUAAGUCACAGUCCUAUUUAAUCAAACAGGCUUUGAUGUUUUGCUAAAAGAACCAGGUUAGAAUAGAAAAGCAGAUCAUGAGGUCAAAAUGCUAUUAUCAUUUAGAAUAUUACUAAAUAUACAUCAAGGUUUUGUUUUGAUACUUUAAUUUAUGGCUGUAUUUAAGGCAGUCAUAGUCUUGGUCCUAAUGGGGCAGUAGAUGGAAUGACGCAGUAAUAGAGGCACAGCUUUUCCGGUGGUUAUCCAAUAUAAUGACUUCAUGAGCAUGUCACUAAGUCUUUCACUCUCAAAAAAUAUGAAAGGAUAAAAUUUUCAGUUUGUAAAUAUGAAUAGAUAGUUAUAAGAUCUAGGAGGAAAAAAUGAUCCAACAUACAAAGCAGAUUAUUUUUAAGGAUAAGCACAUGUUGCUUCCAUCAAAACAGAAACUGCUUUUUACAGCUCACUAAAAGAUAAAAGAUAAACUGUAGUUUUGAACACUAUAUCUUCAUGCUUAUUUUAAUAAACCUCAUAUUUGAAAAGUAAGCCAGCACCUCUUUAAGGUUCUGUUACUUUGUCUACACGGAAUUGUGAUAAAGCACUAGUAUCAUUUGUAGGGUUUUAUUAUUGGCAAACAAGGCAGGGAAAUUGAGGAGAAACAAAAAAGUACUAUAUGAUAAUACAAAUCACAAAUUUGCAUCAAAACAUAGUAGCAUCUCUAAGGCUACAUCCAUGUUUUAACAGGUAUGAGUGAUUCUUGUGAACAUAAACAUGUUGCUGCUUCAUUUGGUCAUAUAGUGGUUUCAUAAGUAUGCAUGUAAUUUAUUGUGAAGAUUUUUGCCUUAUGGUAUCUUGUGGAAAAAUAGGAAAAUAUUAUUCCCUAUUCAAAUAAGAUAAAUGAUGGCUUUUUGUUUUAAAGAAAAGCUUUAAAGUUGCUGAAUACAUAUAUAUACUCUUCCCAGUGGGUUUUUCUUUUUUAUUGAUUGAAGACCUUUUAUUUUUUUGUAAAACAGCUAACUACAAUGCUGUUCAUAUUGCAAAGUAACUGGCCUUUUUCAGUUUCUUGUGAAUCCAUUCAGUUUCAAGGUCUUCUCUCUUUAUGCGUGAUAUUUUCUGGAACAAUUUAUGAAGUUUAAAAAGUGGUGUCUAGCUUGCCAUUUUUAAAAGUCAUGAAUAGUGACUGUCUUCCUAGUAUAAUUUUCAUCAGUCUGUCAUUAUGAGACCUUAAUGGACACAUUUCUCAUUACAGCAAGGUGUGCUAAUUAAAAAGAUUUAAUUGUACAAAAUUGUCUAAAUUAUAAGGUGGUAUAUUGUACAACAGGAAAAAUUAGUUUACUUAAUAUUGUUCUUCAUAAGCGACCUCAUUUUGAGAGCUGUAUAUGCAUCUAUUCUCUCAUGUGAAUCUUCAUUGUGGACAUAAAAUAGUGAACAAAUGUGAUUUAAUGUGUGGUCACAUCCCAGUGGACAGUGACAUUUGUUCACAUUAGUGUCCUGCUUCUUUCUCUGCCAGCUCCAAAUGUUCUUCUCCCUGUCUUCAGCUUACAUUCUCCUACUUCUUAUAUCAACAUCGUAUCAAGCAUUGAGAAAUGCUUCCAUUUGAGCCAGUCUGGCUGCUUGCUACUCAGGAUUCUCGGUUGCGUGAGAAGCAGGAAAGCAGCAGAUUUUACCCUUGUUGGGAAAGAGGCCCUUUACGUCUUUCCAUCAACUUUUACUCUGUCACUCAGUCCUCCAUAAACGGACAAACCAGGAACUAGUUGGAUUAGGGUGUUAGUCACCAGUCAGCUAGUUUGCUUUUGGUACAAAAGUGAUUGAAUCAUUUUCUUACCAAAUCUCCCCUUCCUCUUCUUACUCUCUUUUUCUCUAUUUAUUGAAUCAUCACUUACUCAGCCAGUUACACUGUUUUCAGAGUUGUCUUUGACUCUCUUUCUCUCAACCCUCUUAUCCAGUAACUUGUGGAUCUCUUCUUUGUCUCCCUUCUGCUCACCACUGUCCUAGUCCGAGUUCCUGUUGAUUGCCUGUAUUGUUAUAUUCUCCUAAAUGGACUCUCUGCAUCCAUUUCCUCCUUAUGAUGCUGCCAGUGCUGAUAUUAUUAUUCUUUGCCAAAAAAAACCUUCCAUGACAUCUAUUUGCUUACAAAAAUUGUGCCCCACCUUCUUAGCAUGGUUUCCAAGGCUCUCUGGAAACUGAUGCAAACCUUUCUUUCUUUUUUUUUUUUUUCCUGGCUUGUGUUGUGUUUCCACCAACUUCUCCGCCCUCAGCACACACUGACACAUGCUCUGGUUGCCCUCUUGUAUGUUUCUUCUUCCCUGUCUCCAUCUGUGGAAGUCUUAGAAAUUAUUCAGUACCCAACUUAAAUGUUGCUUCUUUCUCUGGGUCUCCCUGUUAGAAAUAGCCUUUCCUUGCUGUAAAAUUUCAUAGACUUUUAUGCUUUUGUCAGAGUAUAUGUUACCUCUAGGCCUGUAGAUGUGCUUAUGCCAUCUCCCUUUCUGCUAUGUGAGGCAUAUGGAAAAUAACUCCGAACUUCUGGUCAGAUUGAUUUAGGUUCAAAUCUCAGCUUUGCCAGUUACUAGAAUUUAUUUGUUUUACAUAGAGCACCUACCCUUACUCAUCCUUUUUUCUCAUUCUCAAAAGAUCUUAAAAUAACUUCUUAGGGUCAUGAGGAUUAAAUGAUUUGACUUAUGUAAAGUAUUUAAUGCUCUGACAGCAAGUAUUUGAUAAGUAUGCAUUCAUUUUUCUUUUUCUUUCUUUUUUGAAGUGUAUAUUUCCUGUUUAUUAUGCUUGGCACUCAGGUAUCUGUUAAGCUUGGCACUCAGGUAUCUGUUAAAAAAAUUUAGUUCAGUUUGUCUAAUUAUUAUCAGUUAAAUCAGUUAAUUUAUUCAAACCAACUGUGCAAAGGGCCUUAGAGUAGGUGCUGUUACGGAUACAAAAAUGUAUAUAUGACAUUAUCCCGGUCCCUCAACCCCUAGGAGCCUACAGCCUUUAACUGUGGAGCCAAAGCAUAAAUUUAAAUGAGCUAAAUAACUUUGUACAUUGUUAAAAUAGCAAAUUCAUGUGGACAAGGUGAAAACCCAGUAAAUUGCCUUGUGCUUAAAAGGAUCUGUAGUAGUACAUUCCCAUACUGCUAUGAAAAAAAAAAAAAAGAGGUUUAAUUGACUCACAGUUCUGCAUGGCUGGGGAGGCCCCAGGUAACUACUAUCAUGGCAGAAGGGGAAGCAAAUAUGUCCUUCUUCACAUGCUGGCAAGAGAGAAGUGCUGAGGGAAAGGGUGAAAAGCCCCUUAUAAAACCAUCAGAUCUCAGGAGAAUUCAUUCACUAUCACAAGAACAGCAUGCGGGAACCGCCCCCAUGAUCUAAUCACUUCCCAGGGGUCCUUCCCUCAACACAUGGGAAUUACAAUUCAGAUUACAAUUCAAGAUGAGAUUUUGGGUGGAGACACAGCCAAACCAUUUCAGGUUCUACAUAUAAAGGCCCUUCUCUUAUAACUCACCAGAGAGAGGAUUUCACAGGGUUCUUUCUUUCUGUAUGUAAAUACAUAUAUAUAUAUUUGGAGAUGGGGUCUUAACUCUGUUGCCCACAAAAUCACAGGGUUUUUUUUAAUCAUUAGCUUUACCCAUCCAUCUGGAAAAAUAAAGCGGUGUAAAAGCCUGCAAGCAUCAGGAAGCAAAGAAGACUGGAAGUACAGGCUUAACUAAGUAUAGAACUUGGGAAUAUGGCAUACCUGUGUACAAAUCUGGCCAGGUGAAAUAGGAAGGUGAUCUGGCCAGGUGAAAUAUGAAGGUGAUUUUCUAGACGGGCUGCUUAGUAUAUGAAACUUGUGUUUUUCAUGAUCAUACUCAAAGGCUAAUUUGCUUUUCAUCUUCAUUCUAUUCUUUAAUCAAGGCUGUGACUUAUUGACCCCUCUGUCAUAAAUUGGGGAGAACAUGUAUAUACAUGUAUGUAGCAACUUUAAAGGCUCUUCUUCAAAACAGAAAGCAAUCAUUUAUUUUAAUAGGGCAUAAUAUAUUCCUAUUUUUUCAAUAACAUACCAUAAUGCAAAAAUCUUAAUAAGUCAAAUGCAUAUUUACGAAAAUAACUAUAUGACAAAAAGGGAAUGAAGCAUGGAAUGAAGCAGCAGCAGCAUGUUUAUGUUCACAAGAAUCAUUCAUAUCUGUUAAAAAUAUAUGUAGCCUCACAGAUGCUACUGUGUUUUGAUACAAAUUUGUGCUUUAUAUUAUUAUACAGUACUUUUUUGUUUCUCCUCAAUUUCCUUACCUUGUUUGCCAAGAAUGGGGUUCUUGGGGAGGCUAAUACUGCGAUAGAAUUAGGAGGGCAAGGGCUUUUUGGAGGCAGGAAAUCUAAUGCCCAUGUAAGAUAAAAGGGGAGGAAGCAGGAUUGAACAGGGAAGGCUUCCAGAGCGGGAUGUUGAUCUGACACUUGUGAAAGGAAAGGGAACCAGAGGCAGAAUUGAGGAGGGAGAGCUUCAGACAUGAUGCAGAUCUGACAAAAUCUCAGUGCCCGCUCCCGACAUUGGGGAGCUCCAGAGCAAAGCUUGCGCAUUAGGAGAGACCCCAGCUAUGUAGAAAUAGUCACACCCUCUCCAUGAUCAACUGCCCAGGAAGAGUGUGGCCUUGGUGCACACGCUGUGGUAGGACCCAGUGGUCCUGCCCCUAGUGGGUGUCGACUUAUUGCAUUCCUUACAAGUAAAGGGCCACUUCUUUCUUGAUGGGAUUACACCUCAGUGGCUGCAACACUACCUUUUCAAUCACAAAGUAUCAAAAUGGAAAGCCUGUAAAAGCGUUAGUUAAAAUUAGUUGUUUAUUGGAGGAGUCGAGAAGUUCACUAAAAUAACAAAACCCUUGGACAGGCUGGCUGGCCUUAGUGAGUGUUGAGUGGCUUACGUUGUUUGGGAAUAUAUUUUUCAUCUGUUAAAUGUCGAUAAUGACAUCCAUCUUCCCUAUCUACCUCACAAAGUUAUAAAAAAAUGUAAUGUCUAAGAAAGGCAAGAAAACCAUGUGAGAGUCAAUACAGUGGAAUAGAAAAAUCUCUGUGUCAAGGUGAAGGGAAGCAGGUAAGGCUGUCCCUUGUACUCAUGGAGAAGGGAAAUGAUGGCUACAUUCAGAAAAAGUGCAUAAAAGGACAAUCAUUUGAAAUGCAUUAAGGAGUCUGGGCGUGGCAGCUCACGCCUGUAACCCACCAUUUUGGGAAGCUGAAGCAGGAGGAUUGCUUGAGCCCAGGAGUUCAAGACCAGCCCAGGCAAAAAAGUGAGACCCCAUCUCUAUUUUAAAAAUAUAAAAAUAAAUGCAUAGGGAGUAACUAUUUAUAUAUUCCUGUGGCUAGUCUUACUACAACGCAAAUAAUCACACCUACCUGAUCCUGGUAUAAAUCUUGAGUUCCAUAGACAGGCCUGUUUAAAACUAGGGGUAUUACAUAUAUUUACAAUUAAAAUGAAAAAUAUUAGCCAUUUGUUUUUGAUUUCACAGAAAAAAAAAGGUAAUAUAUAAAAAAAUUUGAACCAAAACAAGUUUUAUUUUAGAUUAUAGAUUGGCAACUUUUUCUGUAAAGAGCCAGAUAGCAAAUAUUUUAGGCUUUUAUGAGCUCUGUGGGUCACAUAUGGUUCUCUGUUACAUUUUCUUCUCUUUUUCUUUCCCUUUACAAUUCUAUAAAAUGUAAAAAUUAUUCUUAGCUUUAGGGUGUAUAAAAAUAGGACCUAGACUGUGACCCCUACUAUAGAUUUAGUUCUGCACAAACUCAUUUUUGACUUCAACAUAAUUUCAGAAGUUGACAGAACCCUUAAUUCUAUAUUGUAUUUUUGAAAAAAGAGAAUGGAAUUUGGAAGUCAUAUCAGCCAGGAUUCGAAUCCUUCUUUCAUCCUUUACAAGCUCUGUGACUUGGGCGAGUUAUUUAACUGCUGGGAUGCUCAGCUUUCUUAUAUGUAAAAUAAAACCAGUGCUGCCAGGCUGGAUGUGUUUGUCUAGGUUUAAUGAAAUAAUUUGAGAAAGGUACUUUGCCCAGUGAUUAUUAGAUAAUAGAACCUCAAAAGAUAUUACUUCAUUUCUUCCCUUCCUUUACUUAUUUGAUGGUAUUUUCUAGCCUUCCCUCCCCCACAUCUCCUUUGGUCUAGCAAAAUUCUAGACUGUCUUUCUCUACUGAGUUAUCUUAGUAGAACUCUCAUUGUGACCUAAUUGUAGUCUGUAGGGGUGGAUAGAAAACUUCUCUUCCACGCUUCUCUGAAGGGUCACUGGAAUGAGCUGACAGUAUAGUAACAGGAAAAAAAAAAAAAGGCCUACAAAUUUAUUAUGUACAUGGACACGGGAGUCCUGAAAAUAUGAGACUCAAAGAAGGUCCAGAUGGUUGAGGCUUAAAUACCCUCUUCAUAUGGAAGAGGGAAGUGGGGAAGUAUAUGCAAUUUUAGAAGCAAAUGACUUUUAGGGGAAGUGAAUGAGCCCAAACAACAGACUACUGGCCUCGGACAAAGUUGUUCUGAGCUCUGGGGGACAUUGCAGCACAUUGUGGGAAGCUGAAGGGUGGAACUUCAUUAUGAACACAAGUUGUCUUAAUAUGUAGAUAAAGUCUUUUAGGUAAUCUCUUGGAACUGCCCUCAGAAGAAUAAAAGCCUGUCUGGGUGUGGUUAUGACUUUUAGUCUUUUCUUUGGUGACUAAUCUUUCCUGGUUAUUUGAUGAGAUUCCUAGGGAAGGAGUUUUAAGGCAAUUGCAUUUCUAGGCCGGGCACAGUGGCUCACGCCUGUGAUCCCAGCACUUUGGGAGGCCAAGGGAGGCAGAUCAUGAGGUCAGGAGUUCCAGACUAGCCUGGCCAACAUGGUGAAACCCCGUCUCUACGAAAAAUACAAAAAUUAGCUGGGCGUGGUGGCACACGGCUGUAAUCCCAGCUACUCAGGAGGCUGCGGCAGGAGACUCACUUGAACCCGGGAGGCGGAGGUUGCAGUGAGCUGAGACUGUGCCACUGCACCACUCCUACCUGGGCAACAGGAGCGAAACUCCCUCUCAAAAAAAAAAAAAAAAAAAAGACAGUUGCAUUUCUUCUGGAAGAACUUCCCUAAAUCAGAUGAUGGAACUUCAGAGAGAGCCCCUCCUGCUGCUUCUGGAAAGAAAGAGGACCAUAGAGACUUUCAUGUGGGUCCAUGUGAAGAGACCACCAAACAGGCUUUGUGUGAGCAAUAUGGCUGUUUAUUUCACCUGGGUGCAGGCGGGCUGAGUCCAAAAAGAGAGUCAGCGAAGGGAGAUAGGGGUGGGACCGUUUUAUAGGAUUUGGGAAGGUAAUGGAAAAUUACAGUCAAAGGGGGUUGUUCUCUGGUGGGCAGGGGCGGGGUCACAAGGUGCUCAGUGGGGGAGCUUCUGAGCCAGGAGAAGGAAAUUCACAGGGUUAAUCACUCAGUUAAGGUGGGGCAGGAACAAAUCACAAUGGUGGAAUGUCAUCAGUUAAGGCAGGGCAGGGCCUUUUCACUUUUGUGAUUCUUCAGUUACUUAGGCCAUCUGGGCGUAUACGUGCAACUCACAGGGGAUGCGAUGGCUUGGCAUGGGCUCAGAGGCCUGACAUUCCUGCUUUCUUAUAUUAAUAAGAAAAAUAAAACAAAAUAGUGUAGAAGUGUUGGGGCGGUGAAAAUUUUUGGGGGUGGUAUGGAGAGAGAAUGGGCGAUGUUUCUCAGGGCUGCUUCAAGCGGGAUUAGGGGCGGCGUGGGAACCUAGAGUGGGAGAGAUUAAGCUGAAGGAAGAUCUUGUGGUAAGGGGUGAUAUUGUGGGGUUGUUAGAAGAAACAUUUGUCGUAUAGAAUGAUUGGUGAUGGCCUGGAUACGGUUUUGUAUGAAUUGAAAAACUAAAUGGAAUAAGAGAAGGAGAAAAACAGGUAUAAAAAGUCUAAGAAUUGGGAGACCUAGGACAUCUGAUUAGAGAGUGCCUAAGGAGAUUCAGCAUAGUCCUGCCAGCAAAGAUUAUUUAUUUACUUCAAGAGUUUAGAGUGGCAGUUUGGGGAUAGCACCAGGAGAUAUCAGCUGUGAUGGCUUGGAGAAACAGUGUAAACCGGCAGUGUAAACAAGAGCAGGGCAUGUGUGAGUAGUUGAGAAUGGUGAAUAGGAGUAUGACUAGACAAAAGAUAGUAGGGAUGACAAGUUUUUUUGGGGCACAGUCUAAGUUGGUCUGGUGUCGAAUGAGACUGGGGCCUAAUAAAAAGGAGCGUCUAUACAGGAGCUUAAAUGGGCUGUACCCUGUAGCAUUCUAAGGACAGGCCUGAAUUCUGAGAAGGGAAAGUGGUAGAAGUAUUGUCCAGUCCUUUUUAAGUUGGUGGCUGAGCUUGGUGAGGUGUGUUUUUAAAAGACCUUUAGUCCGUUCUACUUUUCUUGAAGACGGAGGACCUUAAGGGAUCUAAAGGUUUCACUGAAUACUAAGAGCCUGAAAAACUGCUUGGCUGAUUUGACUAAUAAAGGCUGGUCUGUUAUCAGACUGUAUAGAGGUGGGAAGGCUAAACUGAGGAAUUAUGUCUGACAGAAGGAAAGAAAUGACUGUGGUGGCCUUCUCAGACCCUGUAGGAAAGGCCUUUACUUAUUCAGUGAAAGUGUCUAUUUAGACUAAGAGGUAUUUUAGUUUUCUGACUCGGGACAUGUUGAGUAAAGCUAAUUUGCCCGUCCUGGGUAGGGGCAAAUCCUGGAGCUUGAUGUGUAGGGAAGGGAGGGGACCUGAAUAAUCCCUCAGGAGUAGUAGAAUAGCAGAUGGAACACUGAGAAGUUAUUUCCUUGAGGAUAGAUUUCCACUAUGGAAAGGAAAUGAGAGGUUCUGAGAGGCGGGCUAGUGGCUUGUACUAUAGCAUAGCCUGCCUUUGCUGGUGUGUGGCGAUUAGGCCUGGUGGAACUGCCAUCAAUAAACCAAGUGUGUUCAGGGUGAGGAAAAGGAAAGAAGGAAAUAUGGGGAAAUGGUGUGAAUAUCAGGUGGAUCAGAGAGAUACAGUCAUGGGGGUCAGGUGUGGUAUCAGGAAUAAUGUGGGAGGCCAGAUUGAAGUCUGGGCCAGAAACAGUGGUAGUUGUGGGACUUAAAGAGUGAGUUCAGCUGAAGGAGCCAGGGAGCAGAACGUAUAUGCGUCAGGUAUGAGGAAGAAAAUAGAUUUUGGAAGUUAUGAGAAAUGUAGAGAGUGAGUUGAGCAUAGUUUGUGAUUUUUUAGGGCCUCUAACAGUAUUAAAGCAGCGGCAGCCGCUGCAUGCAGACAUGAGGGCUAGGCUAAGACAGUAAGGCCAGGUUAUUUGGACAGCAAGGCUACACGGUGUGGUCCUGGCUCUUGUGUAAGAAUUCUGACCACACUAACCAUGCCUAGGAAGGAAAGGAGUUGUUGUUUUGUAAGGGAUUGAGGUUUUGGAGAUUAAUCGGACAUGAUCAGCAGGGAGAGCAUGUGUGUUUUUAUGAGAAUUAUGCCAAGAUAGGUAACAGAUGAGGAUGAAAUUUGGGCUUGACUGAAGUAAUGGGGGCUGUCUGUGAAGCCUUGCGGCAGUACAGCCCAGGUAAUUUGCUGAGCCUAAUGUGUGUCAGGGUCAGUCUAAGUGAAGGCAAAGAGAGGCUGGGAUGAAGGGUGCAAAGGAAUAGUAAAGAAAGCAUGUUUGAGAUCCAGAACAGAAUAAUGGGUAGUAGAGGGAGGUAUUGAGGAUAGGAGAGUAUAUGGAUUUGGCACCACGGGGUGGAUAGGCAAAACAAUUUGGUUGAUAAGGCGCAGAUUCUGAACUAACUUGUAAGCCUUGUCUGGUUUUAGGACAGGUAAAAUGGGGGAAUGGUAAGGAGAGUUUAUAGGUUUUAGAAGCCCAUGCUGUAGCAGGCGAGUGAUAACAGGCUUUAAUCGUUUUAAAGCGUGCUGUGGGAUGGGAUAUUAGCGUUGAGUGGGGUGAGGGUGAUUAGGUUUUAAUGAGAUGGUAAGGGGUGCAUGAUCGGUCACCAAGGAGGGAGUAGAGGUAUCUUAUACUUGUGGGUUAUGGUGGGGAAAUACAAAAGGAGGACGCAAAGGAGGCUUUGGAUUGGGAAGAAGGGCAGCAAUGAGAUGCGGCUAUAGUCCAGGAAUAGUCAGGGAAGCAGAUAAUUUGGUUAAAAUAUCUCGGCCUAAUAAGGGAACUGGGCAGGUGGGGAUAACUAAAAAAGAGUGCUUAAAAGAGUAUUGUCUAAGUGGGCAGCAGAGUUGGGGAGUUUUAAGAGGUUUAGAAGCCUGGCUGUCAAUACCCACAACAGUUAUGGAGGCAAGGGAAACAGGCCCUUGAGAAGAAGGUAAUGUGGAGUGGGUAGCCUUCGUAUUGAUUAAGAAGGGGACGGACUUACCCUCCACUCUGAGAGUUACCUAAAGCUUGGCGUCCGUGAUGGUCUAUGGGGCUUCCGAGGCAAUCAGACAGCAUCAGUCUUCAGCCGCUAAGCCAAGAAGGAGUCAGUCAGGGAGCCUUGGGCCAGAGUUCCAGGGGCUCUGGGAGUGGCUGCCAGCUUUUCGUGAUUAUUUGAAUCCUACUUGAAUCCUACGAAGACCUCCAAGAACAUUUCUCAUUGGUUGGAAAACAGCAAGUGUUGUUGGAGAGAUUUCUUUCUUAGAGUGCAUGCUCCUCAAGUGAUUGAGAGUAAAAGCUCUAGAGUCAGAAUUGCCAUAGAUUCCUGACUUCAUUUUACUACACAAGCCACAUAACCUCACUAAACUUCAGUUUCCAGAUGAAUAAAAUGGAGAUAAGGGGACUUACAGCAUCAGCGGAUGUAAGGCACUUAGCAUACUUCUUGGUGCAUAGUAGGCACCUCAUAAAAUU